AGCCCAGGCUGGGUUUUCCAGGCAGCGAGGCCCAGUAGAGGCUGAAGGUGGGGGAAGGGGUUGCUGAGCCCCCAGGGCCGGGUGUCAGAACCUCCUCAACCUCUACCGGAGAGGUGCCUGCCGGUGCUGCCGUGGGCCACACCAGUUCUGAGCCACUACUGCUGGGUGUCUGCUCCUGGGGUACCUGCUGGCCCUGAAUCACCCCUCUGGAUUCCUGGGACUCCAGGAACUUUGGGAUCCAGAGAAGCGAGCUCUUCCAUCCCAGGACCCAUGACUGCCCACGCUGUUGAGCUUCUGAGGGCAGGGACCAUGUUUUCUCUCUCAGAGCCAGGGCUGCAUGUUGGAACUGGCCCUGACAGUGUCAGUUAAACUUUCACGAAACAAAUGUUCCUGAACUUGAAGCCAUAGGACAGGACUCUGAAGAUCACAGAAUCACACAGUGAGAAAAUGAUGCCCUUUUCAGCUCUGCACCAGUCCUUCUCAUGACAGAAAGGAGAGUGUCUCGGGUUGGUUCGAGGAUGUCUUUAACCCCUCUCAUCGUUGCCCGUCUCGACACAGAACCAAGAACAGGCGGGUCCUAGACUCAGACUCUAGUGGACGAAUGUGUCCAGCAAAAGUAACAGCAUUACUUUAUUUUACAAUUAUCUUCAACGUAUACCAAGUGAUACUGGUUUUCCAUUUAUAAUGGCAAUGUAGCUUCCCUUGAGUUUGUUUUAAAUUUUAAUUCAAUUUCAGACAUACGGAAAAGUUGCGAGCAUAGUAGAGUUCCUGGAUGCCUUUCA
This 782-nucleotide long non-coding RNA is filed under the name Homo sapiens (human). Its description in RNAcentral is "HSALNT0362970". The record is from RNAcentral. Lineage: Eukaryota; Metazoa; Chordata; Mammalia; Primates; Hominidae.